ACAAGUCAGUCCUUUGAAGUUGGGCCUAAUUAAGAAGGUUGAGAUGAGACAUAACUGAGAUAUGUGUGUCUAAGCUUAGGCUUACUCUGGUUUAUAACAAGACACAAUGGUAGACUGGUGUCACAUCCCCUUUUGCAGACAGAGCAAUGGACCCCUCUUUUCAUCCAGACUAGCAUCUGAUGAAUUUCUCAUUUGGGCUUGCACUCCUUCAAAGAGCUGAGGGAAAUAAAUCUACAAGAGCCAACUGCACGCUAAAAUUAUAGCUUCUGAUUCCUGCUUGUCUCUCCUCACAUUCCCCAAAGCAAGUUCUUUAAAUCACUGGGAGAACCAGGUCAAGUCUGCUCUCUGAGAAGGCGUGAUGUCACCUUGCAUAACCAAAGUCCUCAGGAAAAUCAUGGCAUGUGGACUAAUGUGUGUGUUAUGGAGAGAGAACUUAAGAAAAUGACUCUAUUUUCCUGCCAUGAAAUAAAGACAAACUCAGUCUACAGGUGUUCAGGUUCUUGGCUAUCUCAGGGAGAGAUGCAAUCUCCAGGAAGGAUUUCACACCAGAAACUCCCUUUUUCCUUUCUGUACU
Lontra canadensis (Northern American river otter) is the source of this 574-nucleotide long non-coding RNA. RefSeq lists it as uncharacterized. The record is from RefSeq and is a predicted model, not a curated record. NCBI's taxonomy places the organism in Eukaryota, Metazoa, Chordata, Mammalia, Carnivora, Mustelidae. The transcript has 3 exons.